RNAcentral lists this ribosomal RNA (548 nucleotides) under Daphnia longiremis. RNAcentral's name for it is "partial 12S ribosomal RNA". The record is from RNAcentral. Lineage: Eukaryota; Metazoa; Arthropoda; Branchiopoda; Diplostraca; Daphniidae.
GGUUAGACGAAGAAUCCGAGUAAAGUGAAUGUUUAUCUAGUUAACAUUAAAUUUUAUAUAUAUGUUUAUUUCUUUUCUGAGGUGAAAUUUAUUUAAAGAGAUGUAAUUAUCUUAAAAAUUCGGAGGGACUAAAAAAUUUGGAUUAAAAACCAGGAUUAGAUACCCUGUUAUUCUAAAUAAUAAAUAAAUAGGGUAGUAAAAGUUAUUCUUCAAACCCAAAGAUUUUGGCGGCAUUUUAUCCAAAUAGAGGAGCUUGCCCCUUAAUCGAUAGUCCUCGUUUUAUCUUACCUUCUUUUGUUUAGCUUGUAUACCGCCGUUGUCAGAUUACUCUCAUAGGAUGUUUUCAGAAAAUAUAUUUUUAUGACUUCAGGUCAAGGUGCAGUUUAUAUGAAGGUGGAGGUGAGCUACAAUUUUAUCUAAAAAUACGAAAGCUUUAUUUUAAACAGGUCGAAGGUGGAUUUAUUAGUAAACUAUUUUAAGUAAAAAUGGUUGAAUGUGGUAAUAAAGUGUGCACAUAUCGCCCGUCACUCUCCUCUUAAGAGGAGAUA